Unclassified non-coding RNA from Panthera pardus (leopard), 335 nucleotides. Its record names the gene 7SK. It matches the Rfam family "7SK RNA". From Rfam's summary of the family: 7SK was discovered as an abundant small nuclear RNA in the mid-70s but a possible function has only recently been suggested. Two independent studies have found that 7SK RNA binds the CDK9/cyclin T complex (known as elongation factor P-TEFb). The record is from Ensembl. NCBI's taxonomy places the organism in Eukaryota, Metazoa, Chordata, Mammalia, Carnivora, Felidae.
GGAUGUGAGGGCGAUCUGGCUGCGACAUCUGUCACCCCAUUGAUCGCCAGGGUUGAUUCGGCUGAUCUGGCUGGCUAGGCGGGUGUCCCCUUCCUCCCUCACUGCUCCAUGUGCGUCCCUCCCGAAGCUGCGCGCUCGGUCGAAGAGGACGACCUUCCCCGAUAGAGGAGGACCGUUCUUCGGUCAAGGGUAUACGAGUAGCUGCGCUCCCCUGCUAGAACCUCCAAACAAGCUCUCAAGAAAUAAUACAGAGGGAACCUGUGUACCCUUUACCCAGCUGACCCCAAUGGUAACACAUCACAAAACUAUAGGACAAUGUAACAAUCAGGACAUUG